UCUGACCAGUGCUCCUUCCCAAAGGCACACACCAACACUUCUUGCGGCUUUACAUAAGAUAUGGGGGCCCAAGAUCAAUACUAUCAGGUCUGCCUGCAUACCCUCACAUACUUAUGAAAACAAUCUUAUUGCUUUCAGCCCAUAAGCCAAGAACAUUGCCCGCUUUGGAUUAGUCAAUGGGAUAUGUGCGUAUAUGAUACAAACAGAACAGCAAUGUCCAUUUGCCAUCUCUUUGGUUAUGCGGUCCAUAGACAAAUAAAGGAGACUUUACACAUUUCAUCUAUAAUCUGCUGCCAGUUACUGAGCAGUUAGUGUAUAUAAACUAUACAAUGCUGACUGUUCACAAAUUUACAGUUGCAUUAAUGAAAACCAGAAGACUGACAAAAGACUUUAAAAAAAUGAAACUGUGCACAUUGUGAGAGACACUAUCUGCAUAAAACAAAAAAAUGGUGCGAGGGGUUGCAGAUUUUUAAGCACCUCCUCCUGUGUCGAUGGGAUCUUACACCAGUCAGACUAAGACAGAUUUACCUGGGGACCCCAACCAGUUGCUGGAGGGGUUGUGUAGAAAAGGGUACACUGUUUCACAUCUGGUGAACAUAUCCACUUGCACAAUCAUUGUCCAACAUAAAAAAUAAAAUGGAAAAGUGCCUCUCACUUCAAUUACCUUUUUUAACCAGUUCCCUAAAAUAAAAUGUUUAUUAAGACUGAA
This is a long non-coding RNA of Bombina bombina (fire-bellied toad), 709 nucleotides long. RefSeq lists it as uncharacterized. The transcript is spliced from 2 exons. NCBI's taxonomy places the organism in Eukaryota, Metazoa, Chordata, Amphibia, Anura, Bombinatoridae. The record is from RefSeq and is a predicted model, not a curated record.